This is a non-coding RNA of Penaeus vannamei (Pacific white shrimp), 2274 nucleotides long. The record is from RefSeq and is a predicted model, not a curated record. Lineage: Eukaryota; Metazoa; Arthropoda; Malacostraca; Decapoda; Penaeidae.
GUAAGCGACGUACACUCCAGCUGAGAAAACAACUUUUGCUAUGUUCGUUGAAUUUACGUCUUGUUACCCCCGUUGAGGUUACUUAGUGUUUAGUGUUCUUUCGGAAAAGCGUAAAAAGGGUAUUUAUGGUCAGUUGGUGAAGCAACAAUGCUACGUGAUAUUACAUCAGUGUUACUCGGUGGCUCAAAAGGCCUGCCCCCAACACUCGCCUUCCUCUUUAAGCUUGCCUGGGCUUCACGAGUACGCCUCCCCUUACUCAUUGCGAUCGGAUUCAUGGUAACCAACAUCCACCUGCGUCUGGAAAUCAAUGUGAACAUUGAGGUUGGUGAAGACGAUCCUCCUCCGAAUGACCAGCAGCAACAGUUGCAAUUGGCUCACGACUAAGAGCAGUAUCUUUUGGUGUUGAAUGCGCGUACCUGCUGGACUUGCUGUAUCUUCAUAUAUUUUUAAUUUUGUAAAGAUGGUGAGUGAGGUGAAUUAUCUUGUCUUGGAUAAUACAUAUGUAAACAUGUAUAUCUGAUAUUAUAAGCAGGAUAUGCAUACUUUUCAUUUCUAGAAAAUUGAUUGAUAUUUGUGAUUUUUUUUUUUUUUUUUUUUUUUUUUUUUAUGGAUAUGUUAGUGUGAGUGCUGGAGUCACUUUUGAAAGAUUUUCUUCAUUCUUAUAUUUCAAUAUUUAUUUUGCAUUUUAUAUUUUGUAUGGAAAGAUUGUGUUAUUGUAGGAAAUGAAUCUAAAGAUAUUGGAAAACUUAUUUCUCGAGGCAUUUAAAGAAACUGUUGUUUAUGGAUUCAUUUGCUAACUGGUCAUAUUCCCAAUAUAUGAGAGGGUAUGAUUUGAAAUUGAUAGAGGAUUAACAGGGAAGUAAUUUUAUAAAAUACAUUUUCUCUUUUCUUUUUUGACUCUUGAAUGUUCAUGCAAUCUGCAUUAGAUCUCAUGAUAUCGGUACAGUUUCGUACGCUUUAUGGAGAGUACCUCACCACUAAAUCAGUAAAUAAAAAAGAAAGGAAAAAAGUAAUUUACAGAAGCCUUACCAUGCCAAAUGUCCACCAUAGAUGUUAUGAUUAUCUCAGUUGUAUAUGUACAUACCAUAUAUGGGUUAUAUAUAUCAGAUAUAUGGCUGUGACCUACCCUAUUGAUUUAGGAUGUCUGUCGUGGAACAUGCAAGGCGUCUGGACCACAGUGCUAUGUGUGCUAUUAUUAGUUCCUCUUUGUGUAUCAGUUUAAUAACUUAUCUUUUAUUUAUCAUGAAAUAUAAAUGUGCAUGUCCUUUUUUUUCAGUUUAAUAAGAGUGGGCACUAUUUUGCAUAUACACACAAGUAAACAUGUGUAUGUGUGUAUGUAUGCAUGUGUAUCAUGUAAUAGCUCAUCUAUAUGUUAGUGUAUAUGAAGUUUCAUAGAUGGUACUUGAUCAUUUUUCUUAGAAUAUUAAGAUCCAGAUACUGCAGUGCAUACCUGAACAGUAUACUUUCAUAGGUAGUAGAUUAUUGCCUUGUGAAAAAGAUUUUAUCAUUAUUAUUGUAAUAAUUAUUAUUGGUUUGUCAUUAUUAAUAUUAUUAUUGAACUUGUAUAUCAAUUUGCAUUACUGUUGUUUUUAUUAUUUUUACCAUUAUUGAUAAAUUUUAUUGUUCAUAAAGAAAAUGUAGACCUUCUUUUUCAGUGAAAUAAAUUUUAUUAAGCCAGAUGCAAGAGUGAUAAAUAAUAUAUACAGGUUGUGAUUAACAGAUGAAUCCAUUUUACAAUCUGUUUUCAUUCCAUAAGAUUUUUUACUAAUGAAACAUCAGUUUUAAGUAAAAUAUUAUGCUCCUUUCAGUCUGUAUGUAUAGUAAAGACUGAAUUUUGAGUUUAGCUCCAUAUUUGUUUGAAAGCACUACAUGCCAAUUAUUUAUUUAUUUAAUAAUGGUGUACAAUAAACAUAACUUCAUAGAUAUUAGUACCUUUUCAAUAGCUAUAAUCCUCGCACUCCAUCAGUGUUAUAUUUUCCUUAUAGCAAUUCUUUACAUUGUAGGUUCCAGUAAGGGAGGUCCUUUUAAAGGAUAUUAUUUUAAGAUUCCUCUACCUGAGCCUGUCUUCAUGAACUUACAUAAGCUUUAACUUAUGAUACUGUAUUACCAAAGGUACUGUACUUUCAUUCUUUCUCACGUGCUGCCUUAAAUAAUCGACUGAUACGAAUGCUCUUGCACUCGUUUGUAAACUUUCCUCUUGUACUGUCACGACCUUUAAAUAUUAAUGUUUUCUGAGAUUUCAUGUCUUGGUUUGAAAUAUAUUUUGUGAAAAUU